CUACGUACAGUCAUACACUAAAAGAAAAUCAUAGCCUCAUUCAUUCAUUCUCAUUUCUUUUCCCUCAUCCAUCAAUCGGCCAACUGACCGAGCAUAUAGGUGAAAGGCCUGAACAAGCUCCGGAAGCAUUCGUCGGCCGGUGUCGCUUCCCCUGCAGGGAUGAGUUCGUCAAAUAAUUGGAAGGGAAAAAACUGCAUCGGAAAUAACUUAGGUUAUGGAAGCAAGUAUGUUUCUGAUGAGAACAAGAAUAAGAAGAAUUAUGGAAAUGAAAAUAAUGCAUCAAAGGGCUCGUCUUCCUCCUCAAAGGGAAGCACCAAGAACCAGAUAGGGGACCUCAUAAGCUAUGGGAGUAAGAGGCCACCUCCACCCAAAGAGUAAACAAUGCUUGUUGUCUUUGCAUCACCCCAUUUUCUGGAGUUUUGAUGUUGUGUGAGGGUUGUGUGCUGUUUCUGUUUCCUUUUAAUAUGCUUUAAGUAGUUUUGCCACUAUUAAUUAAAGCCGUGUUUUUCAUUUCAUGGUUUUACUUGGACUUUAGGCUUCAUAUUGAAGCAUUGUUUGAGGAUGUUGUGUUGUUUCUGGUGGUGUUCUUCUCUGCUUUGUAAUGUGCUUUCAACAAGUUUCAUCUUAAUCAAGUAUUCAUGUGUUGUCCAA
Prosopis cineraria is the source of this 651-nucleotide long non-coding RNA. RefSeq lists it as uncharacterized. The transcript has 3 exons. The record is from RefSeq and is a predicted model, not a curated record. NCBI's taxonomy places the organism in Eukaryota, Viridiplantae, Streptophyta, Magnoliopsida, Fabales, Fabaceae.